GUGUCUUUGGCGUAGUGGUUAUCGCGUCUGCUUUACACGCAGAAGGUCCCAGGUUCGAAACCUGGAAGACACA
This is a non-coding RNA of Euroglyphus maynei, 73 nucleotides long. NCBI's taxonomy places the organism in Eukaryota, Metazoa, Arthropoda, Arachnida, Sarcoptiformes, Pyroglyphidae. The record is from Rfam.